GACGAACGCUGGCGGCGUGCUUAACACAUGCAAGUCGAACGGAAAGGCCCUGCUUGCAGGGUACUCGAGUGGCGAACGGGUGAGUAACACGUGGGUGAUCUGCCCUGCACUUCGGGAUAAGCCUGGGAAACUGGGUCUAAUACCGGAUAGGAGCCAUUUUUAGUGUGAUGGUUGGAAAGUUUUUUCGGUGUAGGAUGAGCUCGCGGCCUAUCAGCUUGUUGGUGGGGUAAUGGCCUACCAAGGCGGCGGCGGGUAGCCGGACUGAGAGGGUGGACGGCCACAUUGGGACUGAGAUACGGCCCAGACUCCGACGGGAGGCAGAAGGGGGGAAGAUUGAACAAGGGGCGCAAGCCUGAUGCAGCGACGCCGCGUGGGGGAUGACGGCCUUCGGGUUGAAAACUCCUUUCGCUAGGGACGAAGCUUUUUGUGACGGUACCUAGAGAAGAAGCACCGGCUAACUACGUG
RNAcentral lists this ribosomal RNA (465 nucleotides) under uncultured bacterium. RNAcentral describes it as "partial 16S ribosomal RNA". It matches the Rfam family "Bacterial small subunit ribosomal RNA", at positions 28 to 507 of the family's 1533-position model. The record is from RNAcentral.